AAAAGAUUUAGACAUAAUUUUGAAUAGAUGAAUAAAAUCUAGCUAUUGAGUGCUUACUACGUGUCAGGCACUGGGCAAUGUUGAUGAUACCCGGUUGACAAAUGACCCCUGCCUCCCUGAAGUUUAUAGCCCAGCCCAAGAGCUGUCUCUAGGGAAUAGCAAAGGUCUGUACCCAGUGCCCUGAUCACUGUGCAUACCCUUAUCACAGCAUGUGUCCUCCUGCACUGUAAUUGCCCCUCCACGUGUCUGCUUAGAUCUAACUUUUGACCAAGCAGCUCUUAGAAGCAUGAGGCUCCUAGAGAUGAGAGGUUUCUAUAAAAACUAGAGGUCUUCCCCACUUCCCCUCCAAGAGACUGAGCUAAAAUUUGGAUUUGUGCCUGUUCCCCAUUUCAUAUUGAUUAUUUCAACAAAAAGUAACCCUUAAGAGCUAUUAAACCCUAUUAAAUAGGCUAUUAAAGCUUAGGGUGCACACUCAGUUAUGUUAGUGUAUUCGGAAGGGGUUUCCAUGUGCUUCAUGUAAGUUACUCAGCAUUUUAAAUAUGCCUUUUUCAUUUGUAGGGGCAAUGGCAAGAAGCUGAGAGCAGGCAGAGGAGGCAACUGUGCCCAUCAUCUUCCUUCUAAUUCUGUAAAGGAAGAACCAAAUUGCCUACUGUUUCAAAGAACAUUGUUUUUUAUUUCCUUGGUACCAAAUCAAUAAACGUCUUUCCAGCACAACAGCUGUUGCUUAAUGGCCCCAAAGACUUAAUGUGCUGCCUAAAUUGAACACAGUUCAGUGUCUACACCAAGUGGGCCCUCAAGUAAUGUUGAUGGAUUGGUUUUCUCACAAGCAGUAAAAGCUCCUUUUAUAGAGAUGGAUUCAAUGAGGUUAAAAUCAAUAAUUUAAGAGCAACGUGUGUUGAAUUCUAUGUGGCAAUACAACAGUCUGUAUAAAUAUAAGAACUACAUUUAGAAUUGUAAUUUAAAUUAAAAAAAGGAUGUCUUCUAGUUAAUACUAGAAGAUUCCCAACAAUUUUGAGUGAUAAUCUAAGCAUACAAGAGUAUAAAUUUGGAUGAUUCAGUAUAAAUAUUCGGAGAGUGAUAUUGGAAUGAUUAUCUA
Molecule: long non-coding RNA, 1096 nt
Filed under: Felis catus (domestic cat)
Lineage: Eukaryota; Metazoa; Chordata; Mammalia; Carnivora; Felidae
Description: lncRNA (ENSFCAG00000047047.1)
Source: RNAcentral